UACGGGGGGGCAAGCGUUGUUCGGAAUUACUGGGCGUAAAGGGCUCGUAGGUGGCCAACUAAGUCAGACGUGAAAUCCCUCGGCUUAACCGGGGAACUGCGUCUGAUACUGGACGGCUUGAGUUUGGGAGAGGGACGCGGAAUUCCAGGUGUAGCGGUGAAAUGCGUAGAUAUCUGGAGGAACACCGGUGGCGAAGGCGGCGUCCUGGACCAACACUGACACUGAGGAGCGAAAGCCAGGGGAGCAAACGGG
This 252-nucleotide ribosomal RNA is filed under the name uncultured bacterium. Its description in RNAcentral is "partial 16S ribosomal RNA". It matches the Rfam family "Bacterial small subunit ribosomal RNA", at positions 524 to 776 of the family's 1533-position model. The record is from RNAcentral.